This 684-nucleotide long non-coding RNA is filed under the name Ficedula albicollis (Collared flycatcher). RNAcentral describes it as "lncRNA (ENSFALG00000026111.1)". Lineage: Eukaryota; Metazoa; Chordata; Aves; Passeriformes; Muscicapidae. The record is from RNAcentral.
UGGGGCUCUUAGAGGCUGCAGAGGAGUGCCCGCACACUGCAGGGAUUUGUCAGUUGAUGGAGACCAACCAUUGCCCAACCAUGUCCAGUUAAAGCCUAAUUGUAAGAGCAAUAUUUUGUGUGAAACCUGGUGCUACACAGCUAAGAAUCCUCAGGGUGUGCCUGCCCCAGGAACAAGCCCCGAGUCCAGAACAAGUCAUGGCAUGGUACUGCACAUCUUGUGGGUUCACCCUGCUCCUGGUGGCCAGCAGAUCCCAGACUGCAGAACUCCUCAUCACAGGGUACCAAAGAGAGAGAUCCUCCUCAGCAUCCAUGCCAGGGAAGAGGCAAUGCAGCCACAUUAAAAUGUUUAAAGACAAAUUUGAUUAGAAUCCCAGACCUCAACUGUACCUGUCUGGUGAGGUUUGUCUACCUGAGAAGCCUGAGGGAUGGAAGAGAAGUGAGCCAGUGACUAACAGUGCAAACAACAGCACAGUGACAUCAGGAUACUGGGAUGCUGCUGGCAGUGCCUGGGCACCAGCUCUGCCACAUUCAGCCUGGACUGGGCUCCAGCACUGAAUCUCUGUCCUGAAGUCCCUGCUGCCAUGGGUAAAAGACACUGCAGUGUAUCACAAAUCCCAAAGGACAGAGACCAUUUUUAUCUAAGCCUGGUACAGGGAGAAAAGGAAAAAUCAACAUUAAAAAU